AGCCCACUAAAGAAUGCUGUUCUGACAACCAUGCUGACAUCAGCUGAUGAAGCUUGUGUGCACUCGUGCUUUGACAUUAUAGACUGCUGUAUGUAAGGUGAAGAGUUUUUGAUUUUGGAAGUCGGAAGGAGUCACAGCAAUUUCAACUUCAGUCAAAAGAAGGAAAAGCGUCUAUCUUGGAGAAAUAGAAAAGGACAAGAUCAACAAGAAAAGGCAAGGACUCUUGCUUAAGAGAAGUUAAUUCUAGGAAAUUGCAAGCACCUUUACCACCAAGAGAAUAUUAUGGAAAUUAUGAUUUUUCACUGGACUGUACUGAGGGAAAACUGACCCGUGUAUUGUAAGGUGUGUGUGUGACUCUCUUAAGAACAGAAGGGGUUUGGAAACAUUUGAUCUUUCUUGGGACUCCAGAAAACUGAAACACAGAGUGGUGCAGUAGUUCUACAUUGGAAGUUUGGAAGGGAAGGAGGAAAGAGAGUUGUGGAUGUUUGCAUAGAAACAAACUUUACCACUGUGUUCUGGGGGAUUUGCAGCCGUUUCCUUUCAUUACGUGUCACUGGGUAGCUUUGCUGCAGAGGUGAACGAUCUGAGCAGAACGUUCAAGUGUUCGGAACAGCCAGGAAUGAC
Molecule: long non-coding RNA, 624 nt
Filed under: Struthio camelus australis
Lineage: Eukaryota; Metazoa; Chordata; Aves; Struthioniformes; Struthionidae
Description: lncRNA (ENSSCUG00000014021.1)
Source: RNAcentral